This is a small nuclear RNA of Nycticebus coucang (slow loris), 108 nucleotides long. The record is from RefSeq and is a predicted model, not a curated record. Lineage: Eukaryota; Metazoa; Chordata; Mammalia; Primates; Lorisidae.
GUGCUCACUUCGGCAGCACGUAUACUAAAAUUGAAACGAUACAGAGAAGAUUAGCAUGGCCCCUGCACAAGGAUGACACGUCCUGGGCUUUGGGGGUGUUACUCCUUC